GGGUCAGUAGGUCGGUCGUGCCACCGGUACGUACUGGUCUCACUGAUUCCUCCUUCCUGAAGAACCGUAAUGCCAUUAAUUUGGUGUUGCGGGGAAACAGGACUGUUACUUUGAAAAAAUUAGAGUGUUUAAAGCAAGCUAACGCUUGAAUACAUUAGCACGGAAUAAUGAAAUAGGACGAUCGAUCCUAUUUUGUUGGUUUCUAGGAUUGACGUA
This 216-nucleotide ribosomal RNA is filed under the name Glomeromycotina sp. RNAcentral's name for it is "partial small subunit ribosomal RNA". The stretch from base 40 to 216 matches the Rfam family "Eukaryotic small subunit ribosomal RNA", at positions 686 to 864 of the family's 1831-position model. The record is from RNAcentral. Lineage: Eukaryota; Fungi; Glomeromycota.